GUGGGGAAUAUUGGGCAAUGGGCGCAAGCCUGACCCAGCAACGCCGCGUGAAGGAAGAAGGCUUUCGGGUUGUAAACUUCUUUUACCAGGGACGAAAAAAAUGACGGUACCUGGAGAAUAAGCCACGGCUAACUACGUGCCAGCAGCCGCGGUAAUACGUAGGUGGCAAGCGUUGUCCGGAUUUACUGGGUGUAAAGGGCGCGUAGGCGGGAGAGCAAGUCAGGAGUGAAAUCUAUGGGCUUAACCCAUAAAUUGCUUUUGAAACUGUUUUUCUUGAGUGAUGGAGAGGCAAGCGGAAUUCCUAGUGUAGCGGUGAAAUGCGUAGAUAUUAGGAGGAACACCAGUGGCGAAGGCGGCUUGCUGGACAUUAACUGACGCUGAUGCGCGAAAGCGUGGGGAGCAAACAGGAUUAGAAACCCUAGUAGUCC
RNAcentral lists this ribosomal RNA (428 nucleotides) under uncultured bacterium. RNAcentral's name for it is "partial 16S ribosomal RNA". It matches the Rfam family "Bacterial small subunit ribosomal RNA", at positions 354 to 796 of the family's 1533-position model. The record is from RNAcentral.